GGGGUGCUCGAGUGGCGGACGGGUGAGUAACACGUGAGUAACCUGCCCUUGACUUUGGGAUAACCUCAGGAAACUGGGGCUAAUACCGGAUAGGAGCUCCUGCUGCAUGGUGGGGGUUGGAAAGUUUCGGCGGUUGGGGAUGGACUCGCGGCUUAUCAGCUUGUUGGUGGGGUAGUGGCUUACCAAGGCUUUGACGGGUAGCCGGCCUGAGAGGGUGACCGGCCACAUUGGGACUGAGAUACGGCCCAG
Molecule: ribosomal RNA, 249 nt
Filed under: uncultured Actinomycetales bacterium
Lineage: Bacteria; Bacillati; Actinomycetota; Actinomycetes; Actinomycetales
Description: partial 16S ribosomal RNA
Rfam family: Bacterial small subunit ribosomal RNA
Source: RNAcentral